GGAGAGCUGGCCGAGUGGUCGAAGGCACCUGACUCGAAAUCAGGCGUACCGGUGACGGUACCGUAGGUUCGAAUCCUACGCUCUCCG
This 87-nucleotide transfer RNA is filed under the name Myxococcaceae bacterium. RNAcentral describes it as "tRNA-Ser". It matches the Rfam family "tRNA". From Rfam's summary of the family: Transfer RNA (tRNA) molecules are approximately 80 nucleotides in length. Their secondary structure includes four short double-helical elements and three loops (D, anti-codon, and T loops). Further hydrogen bonds mediate the characteristic L-shaped molecular structure. tRNAs have two regions of fundamental functional importance: the anti-codon, which is responsible for specific mRNA codon recognition, and the 3' end, to which the tRNAs corresponding amino acid is attached (by aminoacyl-tRNA synthetases). tRNAs cope with the degeneracy of the genetic code in two manners: having more than one tRNA (with a specific anti-codon) for a particular amino acid; and 'wobble' base-pairing, i.e. permitting non-standard base-pairing at the 3rd anti-codon position. RNAcentral also lists the same sequence under 2 other names. Lineage: Bacteria; Pseudomonadati; Myxococcota; Myxococcia; Myxococcales; Myxococcaceae. The record is from RNAcentral.